UUUCCGUAGGUGAACCUGCGGAAGGAUCAUUACUGGAUUUUGAAACUUCAGGCUGCUGCUGGCUCUCCUCGGAGGGCAUGUGCACGCUUGUUGUCCAUUAUUUCUCCCACUGUGCACAAAUUGUAGACCUUUCAGUAGGCCUAUGUUGUUUUUCACAAUCUCUGAAUGUAAUAGAAUGGUUUUGAAUCUUGGGAAAUACAAUACAACUUUCAGCAACGGAUCUCUUGGCUCUC
RNAcentral lists this unclassified non-coding RNA (233 nucleotides) under plant metagenome. Its description in RNAcentral is "partial contains small subunit ribosomal RNA, internal transcribed spacer 1, and 5.8S ribosomal RNA". The record is from RNAcentral.